This 503-nucleotide unclassified non-coding RNA is filed under the name uncultured Glomus. RNAcentral describes it as "SSU rRNA". It matches the Rfam family "Eukaryotic small subunit ribosomal RNA", at positions 569 to 1078 of the family's 1831-position model. The record is from RNAcentral. Lineage: Eukaryota; Fungi; Glomeromycota; Glomeromycetes; Glomerales; Glomeraceae.
AGCAGCCGCGGUAAUUCCAGCUCCAAUAGCGUAUAUUAAAGUUGUUGCAGUUAAAAAGCUCGUAGUUGAAUUUCGGGAUCAAUAUGCUGGUCGUGCCAUUGGUACGUACUAGUAUUAUUGGUUUCUCCUUUCUGUUGAAUCAUGAUGUCAUUAAUUUGAUGUCAUGAGGAAUCAGGACUGUUACUUUGAAAAAUUAGAGUGUUUAAAGCAGGCUCGCGCUUGAAUACAUUAGCAUGGAAUAAUGAAAUAGGAUGUUUGAUUCUAUUUUGUUGGUUUCUAGGAUUGACGUAAUGAUUAAUAGGGAUAGUUGGGGGCAUUAGUAUUCAAUUGUCAGAGGUGAAAUUCUUGGAUUUAUUGAAGACUAACUACUGCGAAAGCAUUUGCCAAGGAUGUUUUCAUUAAUCAAGAACGAAAGUUAGGGGAUCGAAGACGAUCAGAUACCGUCGUAGUCUUAACCAUAAACUAUGCCGACUAGGGAUCGGAUGAUGUUAAUUUUUAAUGUA